RNAcentral lists this long non-coding RNA (1180 nucleotides) under Taeniopygia guttata (zebra finch). RNAcentral describes it as "lncRNA (ENSTGUG00000023994.1)". The record is from RNAcentral. Lineage: Eukaryota; Metazoa; Chordata; Aves; Passeriformes; Estrildidae.
GUGGAGGAUUUGGGGGGGAUUUGGGGGAUUUGGGGGGGAUUUGGAGGAUUUGGAGGGUCCGGGGAGGAUUUUGGGGUCUGGGGGAUUUUUGGGGGGGUCCCGGGGGUCUCUGGGGGUCCCCCCCCCUUUCCCAGCCCCCCUCCCCCCCCCGCGAGGCGCUGGCGGCGCCGGGAUCGAUGGAGCCGCGGCGGGAAACCCCAAAAAUCGAUGAAAAUCCCCCAAAAAAUCGAUGAGAAUCCCCCAAAAAAAUCGAUGAGAAAUCCCCCAAAAAAAUCGAUGCGAAUCCCCCAAAAAAAUCGAUGCGAAUCCCCCAAAAAUCGAUCCCCUCCCCCUCCCCCCUCCCCCCCCGACCCCGCGCGACCCUCGGGAAUCCCCCCGGGAUUUGGGGCGGGGGAGGGGAACCCCAAAUCCGGGAGGAUUCACCCCAAAAACGGCGCCGGGAGGGGGGGGCUCCCCUAAACCCCCCCAAAAUCCCCCGAAUUUCCAAAAAUCCCCCCAAAACCCCCUAAAAUCCCCCCAAAAUUGCCCGAAAUCCACCCAAAAUCACCCAAAUCCUCCCCAAAAUCCCAAAUUCCCCCAAAUUCACCCCAAAUCCCUCCCGGGAUUCAACGAAUCGCCCCAAACCCACAAAAAUCCCCCCAAAAUUUCACCUCAAAAAUGGGGGAAAAAAAUCCCCCCCCCAAAAAUAAAAAUUUGGGGUAAAACGGGAAAAUUCUCCCUCCCCCUAAAAAUAAAAUUUAUUUUAAAAAAAGGGCGAAAACCCAAAAAAAUCCCCCCAAAAAUCCCCCCCCAAAUUCCCGCUGCCCCUCCCCCCCAAAAAACCCCCCUCGCGACCCCCCAAAAUCGGCGGAUCUCCCCCAAAAUGGCCCAAAAUCGCCCCAAAAUCGCCCCAAAUCGCCCCAAAAUCCCGCCCGGCCCCUCCCCCACCCCGGGCCCCCCCAAAUCCGCCCCCCCCCCCAAAAUCCGCCGCACAAAGAACGGGGGGUGGGGGAGGGGUGGGGGAGGGGUGGGGGAGGGGAGGGGGGGAGGGGGGGAGGGUGAUUUGGGGGGAUUUUGGGGGAUUUUGGGGGCGCCCCCCCGCCCCUCCCCCACCCCCAGCAGGGACAAAGGGGGGGUGGGGGGGGAGAUUUUGGGGGGGCUCGGAGCGAGGCGGGGGUGGGGGAGGGGCGGGGUGGGGGAG